This 228-nucleotide ribosomal RNA is filed under the name uncultured eukaryote. Its description in RNAcentral is "partial 18S ribosomal RNA". It matches the Rfam family "Eukaryotic small subunit ribosomal RNA", at positions 1208 to 1456 of the family's 1831-position model. The record is from RNAcentral.
AGAAAUCUCACCAGGCCCGGACACUGGAAGGAUUGACAGAUUGAUAGCUCUUCCUUGAUUCGGUGGGUGGUGGUGCAUGGCUGUUCUUAGUUGGUUGAGUGAUUUGUCUUGUUAAUUCCUAUAACGAACGAGACUCUGUCCUGCUAAAUAGUGACGCGGUUCAUCGAACCGUGGGCCACUUCUUAGAGGGACUAUCGGAUUCAAACCGAUGGAAGUGUGAGGCAAUAA